AGACCAUGAUGUGGGCAUAGCCUCAUCAUGUCUUUUCAUCUCUCCCAAGCUUCAAAAAGUGAUUCAUUAUCCUUUUGUUAAACCCGUUUAUUUGGGAUCUUAGCAU
Small nucleolar RNA from Lathyrus oleraceus (garden pea), 106 nucleotides. The record is from RefSeq and is a predicted model, not a curated record. NCBI's taxonomy places the organism in Eukaryota, Viridiplantae, Streptophyta, Magnoliopsida, Fabales, Fabaceae.